Molecule: long non-coding RNA, 924 nt
Organism: Trichoplusia ni (cabbage looper)
Lineage: Eukaryota; Metazoa; Arthropoda; Insecta; Lepidoptera; Noctuidae
Exons: 6
Source: RefSeq, a predicted model, not a curated record
GUGACAAUAAUUGUUCUGUGGCUUGGUCAAUAUUUUGCAAAGACAUUAUAUUUGUGUACUGUUCUGAUUUGAAAAAAUGGUUCAGUAUUUAAUUCCAAAGAAGUGUUCGAAUAAUAAAAAAUACGAAGUUUAAGUUAGGUUAGGUUCUAAGAAGGUUUUAUGCUAAAGUUUUAGUUCAGCACUGGCCAAGUAAUAUACUCAUAAAAAUAUGUGAUAAAAAUUCCAUGGGCCUAAGACGUCAGGAACAGGAAGUGAAAAUGCAUAGGUGGUGUUGAGCAGUAAUCCAGUAAACAAGCGACAUUCGUGCAGUAAAAAUAUGGCCGAUAAUAGAAGCUGCGUAUUGAAAACUAGCUGGAUGAAUAGAAAGGAAGUUUUCAAAAGGAACACAGGAAUAUGGAUUCACACUGGAGACACUACAGCACCACUACCUACCUGAGCACUGAUCAUAUUUGUUCACCCAUUGUAAAAAAAUGGUUAUAAAAAUAAAAAAGAAAUCUAUUGAAGGCCUUUGCCCUGCAGAGAGACGGCAACAGCUAAACGAAAUAAAAAGACAAGGCACAGCAAAGAACAAACUUGGAGACAAAUGUUAAGUUUGGGAGCAGUUUUUUUAAUAAAGUUCUACCUCAAACUUGUCAACAUGAACUGCAACAAGUACGGCGACAAGAAUGUGAACACAGGUCAGCAGAGGCACCUCGCAGGUUCGGCCCCCGGCCAGCGAUUGCAGCUCUGGACAGACAACAAACACUCGAACAGUCACAGGCAUGUUGUGGAUUAGGAUUGCCCGAUGUUGGGCACAACUAGGAUUGGGACGAAGAUGAGUGUAGGGCGACCCCUCUGGCGCUAUUGUGGAAUUUGCGGACACACAAUAGGGUUUUUGACUAAUAUAAUAAACUCGUGACAUCUGUCAGACUGAUUUCCAAAAUA